CGUACACUCCUACGGGAGGCAGCAGUGGGCAAUAUUGCACAAUGGGCGCAAGCCUGAUGCAGCCAUGCCGCGUGUAUGAAGAAGGCCUUCGGGUUGUAAAGUACUUUCAGCGGGGAGGAAGGCAAUACGGUUAAUAACCGUGUUGAUUGACGUUACCCGCAGAAGAAGCACCGGCUAACUCCGUGCCAGCAGCCGCGGUAAUACGGAGGGUGCAAGCGUUAAUCGGAAUUACUGGGCGUAAAGCGCACGCAGGCGGUCUGUCAAGUCGGAUGUGAAAUCCCCGGGCUCAACCUGGGAACUGCAUUCGAAACUGGCAGGCUUGAGUCUUGUAGAGGGGGGUAGAAUUCCAGGUGUAGCGGUGAAAUGCGUAGAGAUCUGGAGGAAUACCGGUGGCGAAGGCGGCCCCCUGGACAAAGACUGACGCUCAGGUGCGAAAGCGUGGGGAGCAAACAGGAUUAGAUACCCGAGUAGUCCC
RNAcentral lists this ribosomal RNA (475 nucleotides) under uncultured organism. Its description in RNAcentral is "partial 16S ribosomal RNA". It matches the Rfam family "Bacterial small subunit ribosomal RNA", at positions 330 to 797 of the family's 1533-position model. The record is from RNAcentral.